UUAAGAUGUCGGGAAUGUGUUAGACGAAUGAUUUUGUUUUAUGGAGCUUUGAAGAGCGAUGAAUGGCACUAAAGUGGUGCCAAAUGGAUAUCUCAAACACCCAUUGUUGAUGUGUGAUGCUGAUAAUACAGAGACAGCUAGAGUGACAGAGUUUGAUGAAUAAACUUAAAUUAAAAAACAGAAAUAACCACCAUCUCUCUCAGAGGUCAUCUUUCUCAUUAUUGUGGGGAAACCUCAAAGGGCAUCAGGAAAACCUUCAUCAACCUCUUUGUGCCCAGUGGCUUGUGCAACAGUGUUUCAGAAAUUAUCAUUAAAAUGGGGAUAAUGGAUGACUGGCCAUACAUAUGGGGCUAUGGACAAGCUUCAGAGCAGGCUGCCAGGUGGUGGUGUUAGUAGUUUAUACUCCGGGUCCCGGCGUGAGCACAUUGAAGGGUCCCAGAGUGACAGUUCAACCACCGCAUACCUAUCCUGGGCAGAACCAGUACUAGGUGCCUUCACCUCUGCAAGGAACUGACAGCUUCUGUACAUGCCAGGUGCAGUGGUACAGUGCGAAUGGUCGUAGAAAGGAUUUCAUAACCAAUCACAACAGAGGUGACCUGGUCCGCCCGGGAAUCGAACCCGGGAUGUCCAAUUCAGAGUCCAACGCUCUACCGAUUGAGCUGACCGGGCGGACAUAUUAGCUACAUUAGAUGACAAGCCAUCUAUGCUGGACAUUCUUCACAAUAAAAUGUGAUGUCACAGGAGCUGUCUAUCUCACCAGCUCACACUGUCCGUAUUUGACUAAAGAAAUGAAUGAAGUCACUGCAGAAGUUAGAUUGAGGAAUGUCCAUGUCACUACCCAUCAUUUGGAAGGAGUUGGAUAAAAAAAGUGUGGCCUAUGUAUUGAAACAGGUCCGAUUUCCAGUUACGGACAGUCUUGAUUUGUCUGAUUACAUUUUUGACCAACAUGAUGGUCUAAAAGAACACUUACUGGUAACUGGUAAAAUCAUGGCCCAGUUGUUCCAAGAGGCAGGCGAGUGGGAAGUUACUAGACUCCAUUUCUUUAUGGGUUGAUCUGAGGUUCCAGUUCAGUUAAAGUACUGUUGGAACACCAAGUGUUUGCCAUAAUACAGCAACAUUUGAUUUGUAACUAUGUAUUUGUUUGAAUUGUUGAAACAGUACUGUUUACUAAAUAAUGUGUAUGUAUAUGAAGAAUAAUAUUAUAAAUAAUUUGUAAGAACCUUUUGAUAUUAAGUAAAAUUUCUAUCUUCAAAAUUGUCGGGACAGGGAUUAUAGCCCUUAAUUAACCCAAAUAUGUAACAUUCAAUGCAAAAUUUCUAAUUGGCUGCAUUUAGGCAGUUCAGAUGCAGGAACAAACAUCACUUGGGUCCUUAAUAAUAGCUUUCCAUCUGACAUUGAAGAUCCAAUAAAAGGAAUUUGUCAUGUGACUGUUUAUUAACUCUCAAUUUAUUGAAAGUGAAAUUACUUACAUGAUUUGUAAGAACUAAAUUAUAAUGAUAUCAAAUGAUUGUUUAAAUUAAAUAAAAUAGAUGAUUACAUACAUGAACUAUUUUUAUUUCUUGUUUGUCAAUAUGAAGAGCAAUGCAAUGGCUUUUGAAUUUCAUAAAAAAGGAUGGAAAAAUGUAUGUUUAUUGUUUAAGCAAUUAAUUAAGUAAUAAAAGUUUUUUUUUUU
Molecule: long non-coding RNA, 1672 nt
Organism: Mya arenaria
Lineage: Eukaryota; Metazoa; Mollusca; Bivalvia; Myida; Myidae
Exons: 5
Source: RefSeq, a predicted model, not a curated record